GGCCUCCCAGUGCUUACCACAGGCUGUGUUUUUACACUGACUGUACAGAAAGAGGAGGUACAGUAAAUGCACCUCAUAUACACUUCAACCCAGGCCUUUUGUCUGGUCUGUAUUGUGAAUGGGGGGGGGACAAAA
Molecule: small nucleolar RNA, 135 nt
Organism: Suncus etruscus (white-toothed pygmy shrew)
Lineage: Eukaryota; Metazoa; Chordata; Mammalia; Eulipotyphla; Soricidae
Product: small nucleolar RNA SNORA51
Exons: 1
Source: RefSeq, a predicted model, not a curated record